Non-coding RNA from Acanthosepion pharaonis, 113 nucleotides. The record is from the annotation of a GenBank genome assembly. Lineage: Eukaryota; Metazoa; Mollusca; Cephalopoda; Sepiida; Sepiidae.
UUCGGCCACAUCACGUUGAAACAUAGGUUCCCGUAAGAUUACCGAACUUAAGCAACGUCGAGCCUGUUCAGUAUCUAGAUGGGUGACCUCUUGGGAAUAACAGGAGCUGUAAG